UGUAGGGCAAUCUGUCUUUAAGUAGGGAUAAAUUACCCUGAAAGAAAUGAAUACUAGACAGUGUUCUCUUCAAGUCAAGUGUCUUG
RNAcentral lists this microRNA precursor (86 nucleotides) under Canis lupus familiaris (dog). RNAcentral describes it as "miRNA (ENSCAFG00000053778.1, ENSCAFG00845021704.1)". It matches the Rfam family "mir-684 microRNA precursor family". The record is from RNAcentral. Lineage: Eukaryota; Metazoa; Chordata; Mammalia; Carnivora; Canidae.